GGUUUGUAGCUCAGUGGUAGGGUGCUUUCCUAGCAUGUCAGAGGCACUGGGUUCGAUUCUCAGCACCA
RNAcentral lists this transfer RNA (68 nucleotides) under Marmota monax (woodchuck). RNAcentral describes it as "tRNA.Ala". The record is from RNAcentral. Lineage: Eukaryota; Metazoa; Chordata; Mammalia; Rodentia; Sciuridae.